Molecule: transfer RNA, 71 nt
Filed under: Loxodonta africana (African savanna elephant)
Lineage: Eukaryota; Metazoa; Chordata; Mammalia; Proboscidea; Elephantidae
Rfam family: tRNA
About the family: Transfer RNA (tRNA) molecules are approximately 80 nucleotides in length. Their secondary structure includes four short double-helical elements and three loops (D, anti-codon, and T loops). Further hydrogen bonds mediate the characteristic L-shaped molecular structure. tRNAs have two regions of fundamental functional importance: the anti-codon, which is responsible for specific mRNA codon recognition, and the 3' end, to which the tRNAs corresponding amino acid is attached (by aminoacyl-tRNA synthetases). tRNAs cope with the degeneracy of the genetic code in two manners: having more than one tRNA (with a specific anti-codon) for a particular amino acid; and 'wobble' base-pairing, i.e. permitting non-standard base-pairing at the 3rd anti-codon position.
Source: Rfam by way of RNAcentral
GCAGUGGUGGUUCAGUGGUAGAAUUCUUGCCUUCCAUGCAGGAGACCCAGGUUUGAUUCCCAGCCAACUCA